This 107-nucleotide small nuclear RNA is filed under the name Jaculus jaculus (lesser Egyptian jerboa). Lineage: Eukaryota; Metazoa; Chordata; Mammalia; Rodentia; Dipodidae. The record is from RNAcentral.
GUACUCACUUCAGCAGCACAUAUACUAAAAUUGGAACAAUGCAGAGAAGAUUAGCAUGGCCCUUGAGCAAGAAUGACACGCAAAUUCAUGAAGCAUUCCAUAUUAAU